This 1308-nucleotide long non-coding RNA is filed under the name Oryza sativa (Asian cultivated rice). RNAcentral describes it as "long non-coding RNA (OSAT_LNC000871)". The record is from RNAcentral. Lineage: Eukaryota; Viridiplantae; Streptophyta; Magnoliopsida; Poales; Poaceae.
GGGAAUCUGAGCCAUAUCAAAUCCCUCAACCUGUCCAACAAUUUCUUCACUGGUCAAAUCCCAGCAAGCUUUGCAAACAUGAGCGAGAUUGAAAGCUUGGACCUUUCCCACAAUGAACUGAGUGGAUUGAUUCCAUGGCAGCUGACCAAAUUAUCGUCAUUAGCGGUGUUCUCUGUGGCAUAUAACAACUUAUCAGGAUGUAUUCCAAACUCUGGUCAGUUCGGCACGUACGGUAUGGAUAGCUACCAAGGCAACAGUAAUCUUCGGAGUAUGUCAAAGGGAAACAUAUGCUCUCCAGAUUCAGGAGCAGGUGACUUGCCAUCGGAAGGAAGAGACAGUAUGGCAGAUGAUCCAGUGCUCUAUGCAGUCAGUGCUGCCUCAUUCGUCCUGGCGUUUUGGGGCACCGUUGCUUUCUUGUUUUUCCAUCCACUCGGACGGCGUGCAAUUCUCGCGACAAGGAAUUUGGUGUUUUGGUGUGGUCAUUAACGAUUUGAAGUUUAUUUUUCUGUCAUCCAUUUCUGAUUGUGAAGUCUCCACUUACCAACUGCUUCAAAAUUCUUGAGUCUAUAAUUUUUAAUCUAAUGUCCAUAUUUUGUUUUGGGCCUGUCAUCUAAAUGUCGAUGUUGUGUAAAUGGCUGUUGAGAAAUGUAGCUUGCUAUAAGAUGAAUGAAUAUAUUAGGCUGCAAUUUACACAGGGCGCGCUUAAGUGCAGGUUUGCCCUAACCUCUGAUUAUCAUCAUAAAAUGAUUUCUCACCAUGACAUGGUAAAAAUAAACUUGUUGGCCCCAUUUCCCACAAAAUCCAAUUCGCAUCCCCGAAGAUUCUGAUUUUCUAAAUAUAAUUCAAAUUCAAAUGUACCUAUAUGGAUGUAUAUGGAAAUAAAAUCUAGGAUUAAAUACUAAAUAUACCUGUUUGGUUGUUAAAUUGGGGAAUGAUUCCAAAACUCUGUGUGCAUAUAUCGGAUGAUAUCCAACCGAAAUAAUCCAAGACAAAAGCAGCAAUAACACAGAGAAGAAGCAGAUCACAUACCAUCCAACUUCCUCCGGUCCUUGAAGUGACUACCCUAGGGUUGGUUCGCUGCUGUCUGCGCGGCUAUUGGUAGUUGCCGGGAGCAGGAUGGAGGAGCGGCGAUGCCGGAGGCGGGGCCAGGCAAGAGUGACGACGACCUAGGUUUGGCUGUAGCCAUGGACCCAUGGUGGUUGUGGUGGCGAGAGCAACGGAGCAAGGAGAGAGCGGAGAGGCGGAGAGGGGAGGAGACGCGGCGGAGGUGAAGCCGGCAACCAGGGCAGCAAUGGGGGAAGAAGAUGC